GAUGAACGCUGGCGGCGUGCUUAACACAUGCAAGUCGAACGGAAAGGCUCCUGCUUGCAGGGGUACUCGAGUGGCGAACGGGUGAGUAACACGUGGGUGAUCUGCCCUGCACUUCGGGAUAAGCCUGGGAAACUGGGUCUAAUACCGGAUAGGACGAUGGUUUGGAUGCCAUUGUGGAAAGUUUUUCGGUGUGGGAUGAGCUCGCGGCCUAUCAGCUUGUUGGUGGGGUAAUGGCCUACCAAGACGUCGACGGGUAGCCGGCCUGAGAGGGUGUACGGCCACAUUGGGACUGAGAUACGGCCCAGACUCCUACGGGAGGCAGCAGUGGGGAAUAUUGCACAAUGGGCGCAAGCCUGAUGCAGCGACGCCGCGUGGGGGAUGACGGCCUUCGGGUUGUAAACUCCUUUCGCUAGGGACGAAGCGCAAGUGACGGUACCUGGAGAAGAAGCACCGGCUAACUACGUG
RNAcentral lists this ribosomal RNA (465 nucleotides) under uncultured bacterium. RNAcentral's name for it is "partial 16S ribosomal RNA". It matches the Rfam family "Bacterial small subunit ribosomal RNA", at positions 28 to 507 of the family's 1533-position model. The record is from RNAcentral.